AGAGUUUGAUCCUGGCUCAGAACGAACGCUGGCGGCGUGCCUAACACAUGCAAGUCGAACGAGAAAGUUUCUUCGGAAACGAGUAAAGUGGCGCACGGGUGAGUAACACGUGAAUAAUCUGCCUUCGAGACUGGGAUAACUUGACGAAAGUUAAGCUAAUACCAGAUAAGACCACGCUUCACAAGGAGUGCGGGAAAAGGGAUCUCAAAUCCUGCUCGUAGAUGAGUUCGCGUACCAUUAGCUUGUUGGUGAGAUAAAAGCUCACCAAGGCGACGAUGGUUAGCCGGCCUGAGAGGGUGAUCGGCCACACUGGAACUGAGACACGGUCCAGACUCCUACGGGAGGCAGCAGUGGGGAAUCUUGCGCAAUGGGCGAAAGCCUGACGCAGCAACGCCGCGUGAGCGAUGAAGGCCUUCGGGUCGUAAAGCUCUGUCAAGUGGGAAGAACACAAUGACGGUACCACUAGAGGAAGCCCCGGCUAACUUCGUGCCAGCAGCCGCGGUAAUACGAAGGGGGCAAGCGUUGUUCGGAAUUAUUGGGCGUAAAGCGUAUGUAGGUGGUUUAUCAAGUCAGACGUGCAAGCCCUCGGCUCAACCGAGGAAUUGCGUUUGAAACUGAUAGACUUGAGUGUAGGAGAGGAAAGCGGAAUUCCCAGUGUAGCGGUGAAAUGCGUUGAUAUUGGGAAGAACACCGGUGGCGAAAGCGGCUUUCUGGCCUGCUACUGACACUGA
This 731-nucleotide ribosomal RNA is filed under the name uncultured bacterium. Its description in RNAcentral is "bacterial SSU rRNA". It matches the Rfam family "Bacterial small subunit ribosomal RNA", at positions 8 to 749 of the family's 1533-position model. The record is from RNAcentral.